Molecule: ribosomal RNA, 404 nt
Filed under: uncultured bacterium
Lineage: Bacteria
Description: bacterial SSU rRNA
Rfam family: Bacterial small subunit ribosomal RNA
Source: RNAcentral
UAGGGAAUAUUGCGCCAUGGGGGAAACCCUGACGCAGCGACGCCGCGUGAGGGAUGAAGGCCUUCGGGUCGUAAAGCUCUGUCGUAUGGGACUAACAAAAUGAAGGUACCAUGCAAGGAAGGAUCGGCUAACUUCGUGCCAGCAGCCGCGGUAAGACGAGGGAUCCUAGCGUAGUUCGGAAUUAUUGGGCGUAAAGCGGGUGUAGGCGGACUUAUAAGUAAGGUGUGAAAUCCCAGGGCUCAACCCUGGAAGUGCACUUGAUACUGUAAGUCUUGAAUGUGGUAGAGGUUACUGGAAUUGCUGGUGUAGUGGUGAAAUACGUAGAUAUCAGCAGGAACACCGGGGGCGAAGGCGGGUAACUGGGCCAACAUUGACGCUGAGAUCCGAAAGCGUGGGGAUCAACA